Molecule: ribosomal RNA, 253 nt
Filed under: uncultured bacterium
Lineage: Bacteria
Description: partial 16S ribosomal RNA
Rfam family: Bacterial small subunit ribosomal RNA
Source: RNAcentral
UACGGAGGGGGCAAGCGUUAUUCGGAAUCACUGGGCGUAAAGGGUGCGUAGGCGGAUUCGUAAGUCUGAGGUGAAAGCUUGGCGCUCAACCCGGGAAUGGCCUUUGAGACUGCAAGUCUUGAGUGCGAGAGAGGGAGGUGGAAUACGCAGUGUAGAGGUGAAAUUCGUAGAUAUUGCGUAGAACACCGGUGGCGAAGGCGGCCUCCUGGACCGCUACUGACGCUGAGGCACGAAAGCGUGGGGAGCAAACAGG